This 507-nucleotide ribosomal RNA is filed under the name Triticum aestivum (bread wheat). RNAcentral describes it as "partial small subunit ribosomal RNA". The record is from RNAcentral. Lineage: Eukaryota; Viridiplantae; Streptophyta; Magnoliopsida; Poales; Poaceae.
AUGGCGUCGUCCAGCAAGCCCUGCGCCGCCUCCGUCCUCCUCCUGCUGCUGGCCCUCGCCGUCGCCACGGCGGCCGACGCGACGAAGAAGAGCAUCGCGUCGGAGCCCAGGCCGUCGGGACCCAUCUUCCCGAGGCCGGCGGCGAAGGACAUCGUCGCGUCGGAGCCCACCAUCCCGAGGCCGUCGGCGGAGGUGGACGUGUCGGCGACGUGCAUGGGGUCGCUGCUGGAGCUGAGCCCGUGCCUGGCCUUCUUCAGGGACGCCGGCACGUCCAAGGCGCCGGCGGGGUGCUGCAAGGGCCUGGGCAGCAUCGUCCGAGACCAGCCGGCGUGCCUGUGCCACAUCUUCAACCACACCCUGGAGCGGGCCAUCGGCGUCGGCAUCCCCGUCAACCGCGCGCUCGCCCUCGUCCGCGACGUCUGCGGCCUCACGCCGCCCAAGGUUGCCAGCUGCGCCAACGGCGGCGCCGUGCCGCCGCUGUACGUGUGCCCGGCGCCCUCGGCCUGA